CCGGCUGCCUCCCCAGUCUCUGCACGAACUGCCUGACACGCCCCCAGCCCACCACGGAGCCCGGCUCUGUCUCUAAGGGCUCGCUCUCCCCUGGAAACCACACCCACAACAAUGACAGACGCCGGACUCCUUUCUAUCCUCGCUUUCAAAGGGGCGGAAGAACCGGGAGACAGACGGCUUCUGCAGACGCUCGCUGAAGGACUUCUUCCUGCGGAUCUGGUUCAUGAUCAGAUCCAGGGGGGACCGUUUCGGGGUUUUCUGUGAAUCUGAGCGAACAAGUGUGUAAGCGGCGGCCGCUGAGCCCUUUAAAAAAAAAAAUCACAUGCUGUGAUUUCACCUGUGUGCAAUGUAAGCAGGACGCAGAAUAGCGCAGCGUUUUACGGAUUAAACUAUAAACACAGCCUUAUAACCGUGUAAGAGCCCGGUUUCUUUAUUCCUUUUGGACGGUCCGUAAUACGUACCUAGUCUCUCCAUCAUGCACUCGGCAACACCUCCCGGGAGUUUUAUAAAUGCUGGGAGCUGAGAACGAGAAAGGACAUGAUCGCUCAAGACCAAGUUCAGCGAGUGUGAACCCAGUGCGGAUCCCCUUACCGAGGGAAAACCAGCGAAAACUGAACCUAAUCCCAAUAAUUUACUCGCCUUUUAACUCGAUGCUUAGUUUUCCCCCGGGAAACGAUGGCGGCCGGUGUGGGGAAAGUCCUGUGCUAACAGGUGAUUAGAUCCGGGGAGGGAGGACCUCCUCCACCGCACUUUGAAACUGCGCAUUGUGUGGACUCACGGCUGCACGCACUUUCUGUUUGCUUGAAUAAUUAACGAGUCGCCGUGACAACAUGGAGGAAAACGGCUGAGGAGAUCCGGACGUCGCAGUCACACACCCCCCAUAAACCCUGUAAUGCAGGGACGUGUCAUCGGAGGUGAGCACCUGCCUAGAGGUCUGCAACAGGGCGGGACGCGGCGCAAAAGCAUGCGGCGUGGGUCUACAUUUCAGAACUUCUUGCGGGAGUGGGCGUGAGUGGGAUGAAAAAUCAGUCCCGCGCAGACCUAUAGUUGGAAUAAACGCAGAGCCGCGCAACAAAUUUCAAUGUUUCCCUAUAUUUCUCUCAUUUUGACUGUGAAAUGUUUCUAUUGAAACUGUUUAGAUAUUUUUUAAUUUAAGUCUGUUGCCUAGUUAGAAACGUUUUUGGUUGUAUUUUUUUGUGGAAAACUGGUUAGCUAAAUCUACCCUUAUAUAAAAGGCAUCUUUAAUUCGCAGCCGGAGUCGUGCCCACAUAAUAUAGCCUAUAUUUAAUAAAUUCCUGUAUGUCAAUUAGGCAACAAAUAAAUUUGGUACCUUAUUUUUUAUAAGCCAAGAUAUUAUAGCA
This is a long non-coding RNA of Paramormyrops kingsleyae, 1361 nucleotides long. RefSeq lists it as uncharacterized. The record is from RefSeq and is a predicted model, not a curated record. NCBI's taxonomy places the organism in Eukaryota, Metazoa, Chordata, Actinopteri, Osteoglossiformes, Mormyridae.